AGUAACCUUCUUUUAAGGUUACCGCUUUACGCAAGCCAGAUAACGUAUAGAUCAUAGUUCUAAGAAUUUAUCCCAAGGAUAUAUCGUCCGAGAAGAAACUGAAUCUAGGUAACGUUGUCGCAGGAAAUCGAGUGUUAAAAAGUGAGGAUUGUCAAAAAUAAUAUCGUGACGUUUGAGCGCUCUCGAUAUCCGAAGUACGAAGCGUAUCGAAGAUAUUCGCUUUUGCUCAUUUUUUUCUCACGAUAAAAAUAUAACUGAACCUCCUAUAUAUCAGCAUUUACAGCGCUAUCAUACAUCAUCACGUUUUCACGACGACAAUACAUGAAUGUGUCUUCAAGUAUUGUUACCGCGUCUUCUGAUAGAUCGCCGGAAAAGGAUUCCUGCACUUUAUGCGGACGUUAAUCAUGAGGGAGGGCACUCUAACUUCUUUGAGAACAGUAGAGUGAUUUAAAAUCCUUGGAAGUUGGUCGCAGCUAAAAAGGGAGUUUGCAAUCAGCCAGGAAGACUUGAAAAAACGCGAGCUCGCAAUUUAAUCAAUCUCCUGGCAAGGUUACGUACAUCAGCGACAACGGGCAUCGCCGUUCGAUCAGGCUCCGAGCAGCUUCCAGCGUACAAAGUGUUAAAGAAGGCCGUUGUACGAACACACAAUUCCCACACAUGCACACGUGCACGUAUAUAUAUGCGCGAGCCGGAGCGCGCGUUCGUUUUAUCGGCUAUCUAAUCGAUAACGUGCUGGUACUCUCUGGCGACCCUGUCGAGUGCAACACGGGACGCGCACACGUACAUAUACGCGCGUCCGUGGUAGCUCGUAUACACACAGGUAACGCCGUGCCGAGUUCAUUAAUCGCAGACGUCCGUUUAAGUAAUGUCGCGUUGCGAACCGGGCUUUGGAAGUCGAUCCGAAGGGCAGCAACCCCUCGCGCUGCCAGGAGUCCUGGAUGACGGGAUGAUAUCCGGAUCCGUCGGAUUGGCAAAGUUUUUUUUUAUAUGUUUCUCUUCCUAAGCAUCCUCGUAAAGUGGAGUUACUUUAUAUUUUUAUGAUUGCGGUCUUCCGACUUUUACGACCACUAUUCCGGAAGAACUUCGGGGUCCAACCCCUCUCUAUGAGGUAAAUUCGUUUGCAUCCGAUCCGAAGAUAUCGAUUCCGCUAAUGCAAACUACAUAAGUUAUGCACACUUUUAUUUAUGAUCAGGAAGUUGUAAAAACACGAUGAGUUAUGUGAAAAUAAAAGAUUCUUCUGGGAAGGUA
Long non-coding RNA from Wasmannia auropunctata (little fire ant), 1248 nucleotides. RefSeq lists it as uncharacterized. NCBI's taxonomy places the organism in Eukaryota, Metazoa, Arthropoda, Insecta, Hymenoptera, Formicidae. The transcript is spliced from 2 exons. The record is from RefSeq and is a predicted model, not a curated record.